GGCUCCAUCGUCUAACGGUUAGGACGCUAGCCUCUCACGCUGGAAAUCGGGGUUCGAUUCCCCGUGGAGUCACCA
RNAcentral lists this transfer RNA (75 nucleotides) under Patescibacteria group bacterium. RNAcentral's name for it is "tRNA-Glu". It matches the Rfam family "tRNA". Rfam says of the family: Transfer RNA (tRNA) molecules are approximately 80 nucleotides in length. Their secondary structure includes four short double-helical elements and three loops (D, anti-codon, and T loops). The record is from RNAcentral.